GGCGGAACUCUGAAGAAGGGGUACCCCCUCACCCCCUUCCUCCUUCCAGAGACGAUUCAGCCGCAAUUGGCCCAAUCCUUCGAUCCCCCGACCCCGCUGCGAGGACUCGAAAGUCUGUGGAAUGGACGGGCCGACUCGGGUCCCGGGGGACGGGGGGGACCAGACGAGAAGUCGCCUCACGGUUCGGGCGUCUGUGCCGAGUGUUCUUCAUCUUGAACUCGAGGAGUAACGCUGUCACGUUAUGCGCGGAACUGGUCACCACCUCACUUGCGGUUGAGAACAGAAAUUCAAAAACUGUAGAGAGCUUCGCGCCUGCCUCCCCUGCCAGGCGAAUGGAAGGUGCCCGCUAACAGGUGCGCAUGCGCCGGGGCGUGUGCUCGCGCUUGGUUGUCCGGGCCCGCCUCCUCCAAGCCCCUCCUCUUGGAAAUCUUGUUUUCCAACCAGGUAGUCUUCCACCGGGUGUCCGUGGCCAAGGAUGGAUCUCAAGGCACCACCCAAUCGUCGUCCCCUGAGUCUCAUUACAUCACCUGUGAGAUAAAUAGAAGAAGGCCCCAUCCAUAAAAUUCUAGUGUCCUUGAACUUCUUCUGCAUGAUGCCUUAACAUACUGCAGAUUGCAAGUCACUUCUUUUGGAGACAAGGAGAGAACUCUUGAGAAUUAGAAAGGGGACAUGGGUUGGAUCCCUGGCUGGGGAACUGAGAUCCUAUAUGCUGCAGGGCAGCUAAGCCUACGCGCUGCAACUAGAGGAGCCUGCACACCGCAGUGAAGACCCAGGACAGCCAGAAGAAAAAACUCAGUGAAACAAAGUGACAGGUUGUGCCUGCCCCCUUCCCUCCUGUUUCACUGGGACUCUUCCCGACCUUGCACCAUGGACCUCUUCAUCUGGCUCUUCAUCAUAUCCUUUUAAUAACCAGUAAAUGAGACAAGGAUUCAAUCCCCGAUACGGGACGAUCCCACAUGCCCGGGAGCAACUAAGCUCAUGUACCACAGCUACUGAACCUGUGCCCGAGAGUCCAUGAGCUGCGACUGUUGAAGCCCAUGACCUUCGACUGCUGAAGCCUGCCUGCCGAGAGCCCCGUUCUGCAACAAGAGGAGCCGCCCCAGUGAGAAUCGCAUGCACUGCAACUAGAGAGUAGCCGCCGAACGCCACAACCAGAGAAAAGCCAGCGCAGCAAUGAAGACCCAGCGCAGCCAAAAAUAAAUAAAUCAGAUAAAUAAAAUAAAAAAGAAUGAAUAGCGUAGGAGAGUGCCCA
Long non-coding RNA from Dama dama (fallow deer), 1252 nucleotides. RefSeq lists it as uncharacterized. The record is from RefSeq and is a predicted model, not a curated record. The transcript is spliced from 5 exons. NCBI's taxonomy places the organism in Eukaryota, Metazoa, Chordata, Mammalia, Artiodactyla, Cervidae.